RNAcentral lists this ribosomal RNA (253 nucleotides) under uncultured bacterium. Its description in RNAcentral is "partial 16S ribosomal RNA". It matches the Rfam family "Bacterial small subunit ribosomal RNA", at positions 524 to 776 of the family's 1533-position model. The record is from RNAcentral.
GACAGAGGGUGCAAACGUUGUUCGGAAUUACUGGGCGUAAAGCGUGCGCAGGCGGUCUUUUAAGUCAGAUGUGAAAUCCCCGGGCUUAACCUGGGAACUGCGUUUGAAACUGGAAGGCUUGAGUGUGGCAGAGGGGGGUGGAAUUCCACGUGUAGCAGUGAAAUGCGUAGAGAUGUGGAGGAACACCGAUGGCGAAGGCAGCCCCCUGGGCUAACACUGACGCUCAUGCACGAAAGCGUGGGGAGCAAACAGG